UGUGUUAGUGGAAGCGUCUGGAAAGGCGCGCGAUACAGGGUGACAGCCCCGUACACAAAAGCGCAUGUGCUGUGAGCUCGAUGAGUAGGGCGGGACACGUGGUAUCCUGUCUGAAUAUGGGGGGACCAUCCUCCAAGGCUAAAUACUCCUGACUGACCGAUAGUGAACCAGUACCGUGAGGGAAAGGCGAAAAGAACCCCGGCGAGGGGAGUGAAAAAGAACCUGAAACCGUGUACGUACAAGCAGUGGGAGCACAGGUUUACCUGUGUGACUGCGUACCUUUUGUAUAAUGGGUCAGCGACUUAUAUUCUGUAGCAAGGUUAACCGAAUAGGGGAGCCGGAGGGAAACCGAGUCUUAAUUGGGCGUUAAGUUGCAGGGUAUAGACCCGAAACCCGGUGAUCUAGCCAUGGGCAGGUUGAAGGUUGGGUAACACUAACUGGAGGACCGAACCGACUAAUGUUGAAAAAUUAGCGGAUGACCUGUGGCUGGGGGUGAAAGGCCAAUCAAACCGGGAGAUAGCUGGUUCUCCCCGAAAGCUAUUUAGGUAGCGCCUCGUGAAUUCAUCUCCGGGGGUAGAGCACUGUUUCGGCUAGGGGGCCAUCCCGGCUUACCAACCCGAUGCAAACUGCGAAUACCGGAGAAUGUUAUCACGGGAGACACACGGCGGGUGCUAACGUCCGUCGUGAAGAGGGAAACAACCCAGACCGCCAGCUAAGGUCCCAAAGUCAUGGUUAAGUGGGAAACGAUGUGGGAAGGCCCAGACAGCCAGGAUGUUGGCUUAGAAGCAGCCAUCAUUUAAAGAAAGCGUAAUAGCUCACUGGUCGAGUCGGCCUGCGCGGAAGAUGUAACGGGGCUAAACCAUGCAC
Molecule: ribosomal RNA, 867 nt
Filed under: Salmonella enterica subsp. enterica
Lineage: Bacteria; Pseudomonadati; Pseudomonadota; Gammaproteobacteria; Enterobacterales; Enterobacteriaceae
Description: partial 23S ribosomal RNA
Rfam family: Bacterial large subunit ribosomal RNA
Source: RNAcentral